GCGGGUGUAGUACAAUGGCAGUAUGCGACCUUCCCAAGGUCGAGACACGGGUCCGAUUCCCGUCACCCGCU
This 71-nucleotide transfer RNA is filed under the name bacterium. RNAcentral describes it as "tRNA-Gly". It matches the Rfam family "tRNA". From Rfam's summary of the family: Transfer RNA (tRNA) molecules are approximately 80 nucleotides in length. Their secondary structure includes four short double-helical elements and three loops (D, anti-codon, and T loops). The record is from RNAcentral.